AGGCCUCAGGCCUGGUUGGCACGGAUUUGGCAAACUACGGCUGGUGACUUAUAUCCCACCCAAGGUGAUGGGCAAAACUAACUAACUAGUUAACCAACCAACCGCAGAGCCAGAGCACAGUGGGGGAGGACAGUGUCCUCACGCAACAAAAUUUGUCAUGAAUAUUACUUUCAGCAAAUAACCAGUUGGUGACGCUGUAAACAUAGAUACAAUGAUGUGUUUGUCCUCAGAAUCUCUGCAUUCUCAGUCCGCUGCUCUGGUGACGGUUACCGUGGUAGCAGGCUGAGCAGGGGGGCCCAGACCUCCCUUUCCCCCAGCAACAGUCCCAACUCCUCAUGGUGAUACAGUGAUAAUGAACUUCGCAGGAGCUGGAAUGUAUUCUAGCAGCAGUGGACAAUUCAAGACACCGAGAAAGAAUAAAUCGUUGACUAUGGGACCACACUCUUCAGGCACCGCCUUCCCAGGUACUUAUAUUAAAUGGUAGAGGUAGAAAAAAGGGAUUCAGGGUUUCAGGCCAAAAGGACAGCUGUGCUGUCAUUGUAUGUCACUUUAUGUACCUCUCAUGUUCACCGUCUCUCCAAGAACUGAGGACACUUCCCCCAAGGCGCAGGUGAAGAAUGAGGGCUGCUAAAGAGUUAUACUGCAUGCCAGCAUUACCUACCCAUGUCCCUCGUUAGACAUAAACGUUGAAUUAUGAACGCUGAAAUGUUAAAAAUGUUUUUGUUUGAACACUACAAUAUGCUGCCCACUCACAGCAAAUGUCAGAUUCCAUUUAUCUUUGAUGGUACUAUUGACUUGUAACCAUUGCUUCUUCUUGCAAGACCACCAUUACUGCUGCUAAAAAGAUAGACCAUAGUGUUUCAGAUGAACUGUCUCCAGGUUUUGAUUUCUGUCACUGAUUAGCCUGUCCUGCGCAACGCAGACUAGGGGUGAACACAAGACCUUUACGUUGCCCUGUGCUGGAGUGGACAUUGUAGGGCCAGCAUCCCUGAAUGACAGCGUGAGAUUGGUGGGUGUAUGCAGCCCAGUAACUAUGGAUGGCCAGGGCACCAGAUCUGUCUCAUUGGCUCAGAGGCUUGACUCCUCCAUGACUUCCAUGACCAUGGUUCGAGGGCCAGUCAGAAUGAGGUUGCUGACUUUCCUGUAGUCCAGAGUUAGGACGUUCAUCCCAUUGAUGGAAAGGACAAAUUGACAAACCUACAAGAAAGAUUUUCCCGUCAGAAUAUUUUUUAUACUACCC
Molecule: long non-coding RNA, 1240 nt
Filed under: Scleropages formosus (Asian bonytongue)
Lineage: Eukaryota; Metazoa; Chordata; Actinopteri; Osteoglossiformes; Osteoglossidae
Description: lncRNA (ENSSFOG00015025724.1)
Source: RNAcentral